This 440-nucleotide ribosomal RNA is filed under the name uncultured bacterium. RNAcentral describes it as "partial 16S ribosomal RNA". It matches the Rfam family "Bacterial small subunit ribosomal RNA", at positions 338 to 795 of the family's 1533-position model. The record is from RNAcentral.
CCUACGGGGGGCUGCAGUGGGGAAUAUUGGACAAUGGGGGAAACCCUGAUGCAGCGACGCCGCGUGAGUGAAGAAGUAUUUCGGUAUGUAAAGCUCUAUCAGCAGGGAAGAAAAUGACGGUACCUGACUAAGAAGCCCCGGCUAACUACGUGCCAGCAGCCGCGGUAAUACGUAGGGGGCAAGCGUUAUCCGGAUUUACUGGGUGUAAAGGGAGCGUAGACGGCGCAGCAAGUCAGACGUGAAAGGCCAGGGCCCAACCCCGGGACUGCAUUUGAAACUGUCGAACUGGAGUGCAGGAGAGGUAAGCGGAAUUCCUAGUGUAGCGGUGAAAUGCGUAGAUAUUAGGAGGAACACCAGUGGCGAAGGCGGCUUACUGGACUGUAACUGACGUUGAGGCUCGAAAGCGUGGGGAGCAAACAGGAUUAGAUACCCUAGUAGUC